RNAcentral lists this ribosomal RNA (479 nucleotides) under uncultured bacterium. RNAcentral's name for it is "partial 16S ribosomal RNA". It matches the Rfam family "Bacterial small subunit ribosomal RNA", at positions 28 to 523 of the family's 1533-position model. The record is from RNAcentral.
GACGAACGCUGGCGGCGUGCUUAACACAUGCAAGUCGAGCGAUGAAGCACCUUCGGGUGUGAAUUAGCGGCGAACGGGUGAGGAACACGUGAAGAAUCUGCCUUCAACUCUGGGAUAACUCCGGGAAACCGGGGCUAAUACCGGAUAUGAGCCUUGAUCGCAUGAUCGGGGCUGGAAAGUUUUUCGGUUGAAGAUGACUUCGCGGCCUAUCAGCUUGUUGGUGAGGUAAUGGCUCACCAAGGCGACGACGGGUAGCCGGCCUGAGAGGGCGACCGGCCACACUGGGACUGAGACACGGCCCAGACUCCUACGGGAGGCAGCAGUGGGGAAUAUUGGGCAAUGGAGGAAACUCUGACCCAGCGACGCCGCGUGAGGGAUGAAGGCCUUCGGGUUGUAAACCUCUUUCAGUAGGGAAGAAGCGAAAGUGACGGUACCUACAGAAGAAGCACCGGCUAACUAUGUGCCAGCAGCCGCGGUAA